Molecule: transfer RNA, 72 nt
Filed under: Etroplus suratensis
Lineage: Eukaryota; Metazoa; Chordata; Actinopteri; Cichliformes; Cichlidae
Description: tRNA-Trp
Rfam family: tRNA
About the family: Transfer RNA (tRNA) molecules are approximately 80 nucleotides in length. Their secondary structure includes four short double-helical elements and three loops (D, anti-codon, and T loops).
Source: RNAcentral
AGGGACUUAGGAUAGUAUUUAAACCAAGGGCCUUCAAAGCCCUAAACGGGAGUGAAAACCUCCCAGUCCCUG